This 253-nucleotide ribosomal RNA is filed under the name uncultured bacterium. RNAcentral describes it as "partial 16S ribosomal RNA". It matches the Rfam family "Bacterial small subunit ribosomal RNA", at positions 524 to 776 of the family's 1533-position model. The record is from RNAcentral.
UACGUAGGGUGCGAGCGUUAAUCGGAAUUACUGGGCGUAAAGUGUGCGCAGGCGGCCGAGCAAGUCGAGUGUGAAAGCCCCGAGCUUAACUUGGGAACUGCGCUCGAAACUACUUGGCUAGAGUGUGGCAGAGGGAGGUGGAAUUCCACGUGUAGCGGUGAAAUGCGUAGAGAUGUGGAGGAACACCGAUGGCGAAGGCAGCCUCCUGGGCCAACACUGACGCUGAGACGCGAAAGCGUGGGGAGCAAACAGG